This is a long non-coding RNA of Lolium rigidum, 896 nucleotides long. RefSeq lists it as uncharacterized. NCBI's taxonomy places the organism in Eukaryota, Viridiplantae, Streptophyta, Magnoliopsida, Poales, Poaceae. The transcript is spliced from 2 exons. The record is from RefSeq and is a predicted model, not a curated record.
UGAACAAAGCAAUAAAAAUGACAAUAACUGAAGAUAAAGGGUUUUCGAUUAUAGUAAUUUGACAAAAUAUUGACAAAACAGGCAAAUUAUCGUUCUUUCUUUACAUUGGAACAUUGCCUGCUCAUAAUCUAAUUAUCUAUCUUGUGAGGAUUGUCUCGUUUCACCUGGGCCCUGAUACAUGUGAGGCUAUAGGUGGAACUGAGGAUGACACAUUUCCGGCAGUGUCGAAAGUAGCUUGAUUUGUUGCAACAAAGUUAUGGUCAAUAUUGCUCUCCGUAUUCAUGUUACCUUCCAAGACCUUGACUACCUCGGACAUCCUAGGUCUUCUUUUGCAAUCAAUCUGCAAACACCACAUCGCGAGCUUCAUCAUCUGAAUUACAUCCUGCUCGUGUGUGUGCAUGUCGUUACUGUUCUUGUCGAUCAAAUCUACCAAGUUACCAUACUUCACCUUUUCUUCCAAUAGGGUAAUGAGAUGGAUGCUCUCUUCUGAUCGGGAGGUGUCGAUGUUCUUUCUUCCGCUGAUGACUUCCAUGACCACUACACCAAAGCUGUAGAUAUCGGCCUUCUCUGUUAUUUGUGAUGUCAACCAUUCAGGUGCUAAAUAUCCAGAUCUGUGGAAUCUGGAGGCCAUCACCGUCACUCUGGAAGAAGCUCCUAGGGGCAAAGCUGAAGCUGACACCGGUGGGCAGCUGCCUGGAAGCAUGUAGCUGGAGGCCUGCAUGCCUUGUUGACUGGCCUUAGCUAUCAUACCAUUAACCAUGUCUCACUCACUAUAAUUCCGUGAAUUACGUCCAAACGAGGGUGGCAAAAAGCCUUGUCAUCUUCGUGAACAUGCGUGAAUUAGCUGUUUCUUAUACACAUUUUGUAGCGCUGAGUAUUUGGCUGUGCCGUUUACA